CCAUACAAUCCCCAGUCCCCACUCCACCAUCCCUCCUCCCUGCCUAUCUUCACUCUCCCCCUGCGACCGCCGCUAGAUCUGGAUGCGCCGACUUCGGCUCAGGCGACGGCCGACGGCGUUAGGCGCGUUGGCGGCUUGCUGGCUGGCGGGCUGAGGGUGUGAGGUAGGCGGCGUCGCGAAUCGCGGGCGCGCACAGCGGCUGCGCCGUGCCCAUGAGCGAUGGACGGAAAGGCGCGGAGGAGCCUGCAACCAGGCGGGUGGCGGCCAGGCGAGCGGCCGACGCCCGUGAAGGCUGCGUCUGGGGCUCCACCAGGAAUCGCCACCAAUAGCCGGCUCUCACGCUUCAGAUCCGAACGCCAGCUGACCAGCGCCACCCUCUGGAACUGGAGAAUCCCAGUCACUGCUCGUGCGCACUGCUGGCCCGGCCUCUCGACGUCCUCCCUUCUGGCAGCCGCUGCUUGAUUGCUUGUCUUUUGCAGUGAACUAUGAUUUUGGUGUUGCGGCCUACUCAGUGCUCACCCAUCACACUCAUACCUGAGAAACUGGUGCUAUGAAAAUCUGCAUAUUGGACUGUUUAUGCAAUCAUUUCAAAAGAUCAUUUAUGUCCUGAUGCCGCAGUCAUCUCUACUUCACUAGUUGAGUUAAGCAAUCGCUAAUUGCUUGGAAAACUAGGAAGCACAAUAUAGCUGAAGGUCCAGACAGGGGUUUGACAUCAUGGCUUAGAGCAAUAGUACCAUGCCAUUUUAGAGUGAAGUAGUAUUCCCAGGAUGCAAAAGAGAUACAUUGAAAUUUGCCUAGUAAGUCCCUUUUUUUGGACUGCUUGCGAUGCCGUUCAUCUAAACUUAUGUCUGGUUGAACGGCUUUUGGUUUCUAAGCCUGUACUUGUAGGAAGUAGUGUUCAAUUCGAUCUCAGUUGUAGCUGUUUAUGAUAUUUGUAUUGCUAUUGUUUGAUACCAUAUUGUUGUCAAAUUGAUUAAUCGAAUGAAUAUGUAUGUCGAUGCAUUUGAAUCCA
Molecule: long non-coding RNA, 1012 nt
Organism: Oryza sativa Japonica Group (Japanese rice)
Lineage: Eukaryota; Viridiplantae; Streptophyta; Magnoliopsida; Poales; Poaceae
Source: RefSeq, a predicted model, not a curated record